CUGGAAUAGAGGAUUUAGGAAAAUCCUGGUGGAGGUGGAAGAGUAUCUGAAGAGAGCCACCGCUACUCUGGAUCCUAAUAGGGCUCUAAUUGACUGCUGCAUGAAUCUAAUCAAGCGUGAUUGGGAUUGCAAAAUUCUUCAGGUUCGUAGGGAAGCAAACUUGUGUGCUAAUUGGUUAGCCUCUCAUUUUGAAGACCAUCCGUUGGGAUUGACAAUUUUUGAGAGCCCACCUGGUAAUUUGGUUCCUAUAUUGCAGAAGGAUUCUAUGAGGAGUCCUUACCCCUCUCAUCAGGCUUAGUCGGACUUAGCCCUCCUAUGCACAGCUAACACUCGUAUGUUAGAUUUUGCUCUUGACCUGGCUCUGAAAUUACCGGAUG
RNAcentral lists this unclassified non-coding RNA (377 nucleotides) under Hevea brasiliensis (rubber tree). The record is from RNAcentral. Lineage: Eukaryota; Viridiplantae; Streptophyta; Magnoliopsida; Malpighiales; Euphorbiaceae.